GGGGGAUAAAUUAAUAAAGUAUAAAUAAUAAAAAAAUUUUUAAUAUUAAAAUAUUUUAAUGGGGGUUAAAGUAUAUUUAAUAGAAAAAAUAAAAAAAAUUUAUAGAAAAUUAGUAUUGUAAAAGAAAUUUGAAAUAUAUUGAAAAUAAAUUUAUUUAAAAGUAAAUUUAAUUUAUUGUAUCUUGUGUAUCAGAGUUUAUUAAUAAUAAUUUUUAUAUAUAAAAAUUUUCUCGAAUUUAAAAGAGAUAAUUAAUUAUUAAAGUUAAUGUUGUAUAAUUAUUUUAAAUAAUUAAUUGGAAAUGAGAUGUUAAUCGUUUUUAAAUAUAUCUAGUUUUUUUAGAAAAAAAUUUAAUUUUAAAUUUUAAAAAGAAUAUAAUUUUAAUUAAUUAAAAUUAUAUUUUUAAAAUUAAAUAUUUUAAGGGAUAAGCUUUAAAAUAAAUUUUUAUAAUAAAUUUUAACAAUAAUUAAAAUUUUUAAAAUUUAUAUUGUUUAUAAAUUAUAAUUUUUUAUAAAUAAUUUUAAUUAAAUUAAAAUUUUAAAUUUAUUUAAUUUUUUAUUAAAAAAUAUUUUUUAAUAAUUAAAAUUUAGAUAUAAUGAUAAAAUUAGUAUAUAAAUGAAUAAAUAAUAUAGUUUAUUAUUUGAUAAUUUAAUAAAAGGAAUUCGGCAAAAAUUAUAUUCACUUGUUUAUCAAAAACAUGUCUUUUUGGUUAAUAAUUUAAAGUCUAAUCUGCCCACUGAUAAUAUAUUAAAGGGCUGCAGUAUUUUGACUGUACAAAGGUAGCAUAAUCAUUAGUCUCUUAAUUGGUGACUUGUAUGAAAGAUUUGAUGAGAUAUAUACUGUCUCUUUUUAAUUUAUAAAAUUUAAUUUUUUAGUUAAAAAGCUAAAAUAUAUUUAAAAGACGAGAAGACCCUAUAGAGUUUUAUAUUUAUAUAAAUUAAAAUUUUUUAUAAGCUUUAAAAUUUUAAUUUAUAUAAAUAUUUUGUUGGGGUGAUAAAAAAAUUAAAAUAACUUUUUUUAUAAUUUUACAUUAAUAAAUGAAUAAAUGAUCCGUAAUUUACGAUUAUAAGAUAAAAUUACCUUAGGGAUAACAGCGUAAUUUUUUUUUUUAGUUCAAAUAAGAAAAAAAGUUUGCGACCUCGAUGUUGGAUUAAGAUAAAAUUUAAAUGCAAAAGUUUAAAAUUUUUGAUCUGUUCGAUCAUUAAAAUCUUACAUGAUCUGAGUUCAAACCGGUGUAAGCCAGGUUGGUUUCUAUCUUUAGAUUAAUAAAAUAUUUUAGUACGAAAGGAUCAAAUAUUUAAAAUAGUUUUAUUUAAAAGAAUUUUAAUAAUAGUAUAUUUUUAAAUAUG
RNAcentral lists this ribosomal RNA (1346 nucleotides) under Parnassius epaphus (common red apollo). RNAcentral describes it as "16S ribosomal RNA". The stretch from base 1084 to 1243 matches the Rfam family "Eukaryotic large subunit ribosomal RNA", at positions 2825 to 2984 of the family's 3401-position model. The record is from RNAcentral. Lineage: Eukaryota; Metazoa; Arthropoda; Insecta; Lepidoptera; Papilionidae.